GAUGAACGCUGGCGGCGUGCCUAAUACAUGCAAGUCGAGCGAACAGACGAGGAGCUUGCUCCUCUGACGUUAGCGGCGGACGGGUGAGUAACACGUGGAUAACCUACCUAUAAGACUGGGAUAACUUCGGGAAACCGGAGCUAAUACCGGAUAAUAUAUUGAACCGCAUGGUUCAAUAGUGAAAGACGGUUUUGCUGUCACUUAUAGAUGGAUCCGCGCCGCAUUAGCUAGUUGGUAAGGUAACGGCUUACCAAGGCAACGAUGCGUAGCCGACCUGAGAGGGUGAUCGACCACACUGUAACUGAGACACGGUCCAGACUCCUACGGGAGGCAGCAGUAGGGAAUCUUCCGCAAUGGGCGAAAGCCUGACGGAGCAACGCCGCGUGAGUGAUGAAGGUCUUCGGAUCGUAAAACUCUGUUAUUAGGGAAGAACAAAUGUGUAAGUAACUAUGCACGUCUUGACGGUACCUAAUCAGAAAGCCACGGCUAACUACGUG
This 497-nucleotide ribosomal RNA is filed under the name uncultured bacterium. RNAcentral describes it as "partial 16S ribosomal RNA". It matches the Rfam family "Bacterial small subunit ribosomal RNA", at positions 28 to 507 of the family's 1533-position model. The record is from RNAcentral.